Molecule: ribosomal RNA, 467 nt
Filed under: uncultured bacterium
Lineage: Bacteria
Description: partial 16S ribosomal RNA
Rfam family: Bacterial small subunit ribosomal RNA
Source: RNAcentral
GAUGAACGCUGACAGAAUGCUUAACACAUGCAAGUCAACUUGAAUUUGGGUUUUUAACUUAGGUUUGGGUGGCGGACGGGUAAGUAACGCGUAAAGAACUUGCCUCACAGCUAGGGACAACAUUUGGAAACGAAUGCUAAUACCUAAUAUUAUGAUAAUAGGGCAUCCUAUAAUUAUGAAAGCUAUAAGCGCUGUGAGAGAGCUUUGCGUCCCAUUAGCUAGUUGGAGAGGUAACGGCUCACCAAGGCGAUGAUGGGUAGCCGGCCUGAGAGGGUGAUCGGCCACAAGGGGACUGAGACACGGCCCUUACUCCUACGGGAGGCAGCAGUGGGGAAUGUUGGACGAUGGACCGAGAGGCUGAUCCAGCAAUUCUGUGUGCACGAUGAAGUUUUUCGGAAUGUAAAGUGCUUUCAGUUGGGAAGAAACAAAUGACGGUACCAACAGAAGAAGUGACGGCUAAAUACGUG